GAUGAACGCUGGCGGCGUGCCUAAUACAUGCAAGUCGAGCGAACAGACGAGGAGCUUGCUCCUCUGACGUUAGCGGCGGACGGGUGAGUAACACGUGGAUAACCUACCUAUAAGACUUGGAUAACUUCGGGAAACCGGAGCUAAUACCGGAUAAUAUAUUGAACCGCAUGGUUCAAUAGUGAAAGACGGUUUUGCUGUCACUUAUAGAUUGAUCCGCGCCGCAUUAGCUAGUUGGUAAGGUAACGGCUUACCAAGGCAACGAUGCGUAGCCGACCUGAGAGGGUGAUCGGCCACACUGGAACUGAGACACGGUCCAGACUCCUACGGGAGGCAGCAGUAGGGAAUCUUCCGCAAUGGGCGAAAGCUUGACGGAGCAACGCCGCGUGAGUGAUGAAGGUCUUCGGAUCGUAAAACUCUGUUAUUAGGGAAGAACAAAUGUGUAAGUAACUAUGCACGUCUUGACGGUACCUAAUCAGAAAGCCACGGCUAACUACGUG
Molecule: ribosomal RNA, 497 nt
Filed under: uncultured bacterium
Lineage: Bacteria
Description: partial 16S ribosomal RNA
Rfam family: Bacterial small subunit ribosomal RNA
Source: RNAcentral